Delphinapterus leucas (beluga whale) is the source of this 463-nucleotide non-coding RNA. The record is from RefSeq and is a predicted model, not a curated record. Lineage: Eukaryota; Metazoa; Chordata; Mammalia; Artiodactyla; Monodontidae.
GUCUGUGAGGGAUCUGCCCUGCUCUGUCUACUUGGUGGGACUGCUGUGUUGAUCCAAGGGGAUCCUGCAUUUGAAGUUGCCUUGGAACUGCCAGAUGAUGUGCAAAUGCCGUGUAGGUUAUUCACCAGGUGGACUGGAGACUAAGCAGCCUCCUCCCACCCACCCAAGGCAGCUUCAGGCCCUCAGGGAAGCUCUCCAAAAGGCUGACGACUGGCCUCCUCCACAGACCGCAGAAGCCCCUCAGACUACCUGGCAGACGGGCGGACUGCAGUUUCGAGAGGAGUGCCACCCACACGUGUGGCACGGGAUCUGAAUUCCUGACUCCACGGGGUGUGAAAGCUUUUCUCUGCCCACCAGGAACAAGUAAUCAACUCUCAUGACAUCGGACAGAGUGUUCAGCACAUACUUAAGGCCUCUCACUGUUGUGGCCUCUCCCGUUGCAGAGCACAGGCUCCGGACGCGC